GACACAUCACUCCCAUAGGCGCCGGUGCUGGAUGCGCAGGUGUGUUCGCUCUGUCCAGAUGGACGCGCUUACAUUUUUAAAGCACACCGCGAGUCCGUCUUCCUAGCGCGCGCAUGGGUACCCCCGCUACUUUGGCUCCACAUGUGCGCGCAUUUUCGCCUUCACAAGCGAGACUUCUCCGCUCUGCCCAGAUGGGACAUUUCGCACAGUAUAAAAGCUGCAUAAAAUAACGUGAGGGUGACCCCCUUUGGCAGGGUCAUCAUGCGCUGCAGGUGUUUCCCCAGCAGCAGGGGGUGGUUGCUAGGAUACGCUCUGUUUAGCUGGUUUCCAGACUACAGAGCUGCAGGUCUUCAAACCAUAUCACUGCUUCCUCGCGGAUCCAAGGGGGCAGAGAGAAAAUUACAACGCGGGUAAAUCAGCCGCGAAGCCCCGCGGUGCUGACUGCCUAGCGGCCCCUAGAGCGCCAGGCUCUCCGUCAGAGAAAUUCAUUAGUGCGGCGGGGGAGCACUCACACCACUGGGAAUUAGGUGACCUUGAGCAAAGAAUCGCCGGGGUUCUCCUCCAGCAGAACAUGCUUCCAUUGCUCCAGAUCCCACUGGUCCUUCCGACUCCUGGCAAUGUGAGGCUUGCAUGAAGCUGAUUAUAUACACCUGUUGCAAUGGGUCUGAAUGAAUUCUGAAUUCUGUGAUUAAGAGGUGCGUCCCAAUACUUGUCCAUAUAUUGUAUAUAUUCUCCUACAGCCAAAGUUUUACGACUAUGACUUCCGAAUAAUAUUGACUAUCUAGUAAAAAUGAUACGUGUCUGUGCCUGGGAUAUAUCAGACAGUACGCUAACAUUCAGUGUCCGUAGUCAACAUGUUGAACGCAGAAGAAACUGGCAGGAAUAAAGAUCUGAGUGACCUUGACAAAGCCCAUUUCAUGAUGGUCCCAGCACCUCACGAUCAGCCAUGGGGAAGUCUGAGGAGAGAAGAACCUCAAUCUGCCAGCAGCGUGGGAGGUGGCCAAAUCUCAUCGAGUCGAGUAACAAAUGUCGGCUUGCUAUCUAAAACUCUGACGUGCGUGUUUUUAACGAGAAACUCACUGUUAUUCACGUCACGUGGUAGCGGCCAUAAUGUGUUGGCCCAGCUGUGUAUAUUAACUUGCUGUUGGGUGGAUGGCGGCUGAUUAGAUAGAUUUGUUUGCUGCCCUUGCACCCUGUAUGGGGUCGGUGUGUUCUCCCUGUGCAUUUCACCGCUCUUCCCAAAUUGUCCUUUGUGUGCAUAUGUGCGCCCCCCUCCAGUGGUGGGCUAGGUAACCAUUCUCUCAGUGCCCAAUUCUUGAGGGCAGCCCAAAGCUUGCCGUCAAUCUGGAUUAAGUAAGAGGCUCUGGGAAAACUGCAUAU
Long non-coding RNA from Brienomyrus brachyistius, 1380 nucleotides. RefSeq lists it as uncharacterized. NCBI's taxonomy places the organism in Eukaryota, Metazoa, Chordata, Actinopteri, Osteoglossiformes, Mormyridae. The record is from RefSeq and is a predicted model, not a curated record. The transcript is spliced from 4 exons.